GACGAACGCUGGCGGCGUGCUUAACACAUGCAAGUCGAACGGAAAGGCCCUGCUUGCAGGGUACUCGAGUGGCGAACGGGUGAGUAACACGUGGGUGAUCUGCCCUGCACUUCGGGAUAAGCCUGGGAAACUGGGUCUAAUACCGGAUAGGAGCCCUCUUUAGUGUGGUGGUUGGAAAGUUUUUUUGGUGUAGGAUGAGGUCGCGGCCUAUCAGCGUGUUGGUGGGGUAAUGGCCUACCAAGGCGGCGACGGGUAGCCGGCCUGAGAGGGUGUACGGCCACAUGGGGACUGAGAUACGGCCCAGACUCCUACGGGAGGCAGCAGUGGGGAAUAUUGCACAAUGGGGGCAAGCCUGAUGCAGCGACGCCGCGUGGGGGAUGAAGGCCUUCGGGUUGUAAACUCCUUUCGCUAGGGACGAAGCUUUGUUGUGACGGUACCUAGAUAAGAAGCACCGGCUAACUACGUG
RNAcentral lists this ribosomal RNA (466 nucleotides) under uncultured bacterium. RNAcentral describes it as "partial 16S ribosomal RNA". It matches the Rfam family "Bacterial small subunit ribosomal RNA", at positions 28 to 507 of the family's 1533-position model. The record is from RNAcentral.